Molecule: long non-coding RNA, 1713 nt
Organism: Hordeum vulgare subsp. vulgare (domesticated barley)
Lineage: Eukaryota; Viridiplantae; Streptophyta; Magnoliopsida; Poales; Poaceae
Exons: 2
Source: RefSeq, a predicted model, not a curated record
GGGUAGAGGUGGGACGCCGAUGCAUAGUCCCACCUACAGCCUGAGUCUAUCCCAUCCACCCGUAGCCACCGCUGCCAACCUUUUCCUCGGGAUACAUCCCGAACGCCCAACUACAAGCUACUCUGUCAUCUUGGCCUCCUGCUGCAGCCUCCGACCACCUCUCUCAUCUUGCGCGCCCGUCCAAUCGAGUUGGUCAUUGCCUCGAGCACCUCACGUAGCUGCAGCUCCUCCCUAGCGGUCGCUCGUUUGUGCCCGAGUACAUGCAGGUAGAGGAGCCAGCCGCCUGAGACUCCUCGCUCCUCCUGAAAAACUAGGACGCCAUGGAUGUGCCAUCUCGACCCUGCCGUUCAGCGACCUGCCUGCAGGAACCGUUGCGCCCAUGCCCAUCUCCUCUCUACGUUCCUUCUUUCUCCUCCCUGGCUCUCUCACACACUACACAUCUCUCUGUUCUCUCUUUCUCCAGAAUCUCCCAAGAACGCAUGAACACAGCCGGGGAUGCAGCGCCGCCCGAAGCCACCUCGUCACCAUGAAUGGAUUCCCCAUGCCUGGAUCCGUCAAACCCCACUGCCACCUAAUGAUUUUCUCGUCGUCUGAGCUUCUCCAAGCCACCGCUGCCUCUAACUCGCCUGCGAAGCACCCCGAAGGCCUCUGAUUCAUGAGUGUGUUGACCAUUUCCUGCCUCCCCAAAUCGUCGGGCGCUCGAUUGUGUCCUCGCUCUUCUGGUCCGCAGCAUCACCAAAGCCAGCUGCCCCAACGAGCCUCUACCUCACCGAUGACAGAUGGAACAUUGGAAAUUCGGUUGUUCCACUAGAAGAAAGAUUCCCUAGGCUCUUCUCAUAUGUGAAGGAUCCAUGAACAAUGGUCAAGGAGGGGCUCGAGAGUUCUAAUCUGUUAAGAUGGUUUAAUCUGCGUAUGUCCGAUCAAACGUUUGCAGAGCUUGCAUUGCUCCAAUCCUUCAUGCAUGAAGUUAAAUUUCAGGAGGACCUUUUGGAUGUUUGGGCUUGGCAGGGUACAACUAAGUCCUAUACACCAAAGAUGUUUUAUACAUAUGCCCAUAGAACACAUACUUUCAAUCCUCUGCACAACUGGAUUUGGACUAGUUCUUGUAUUUUGAACCUUAAAGUUUUUGCUUGGAUGCUCGUUAUGGAUAGGAUCAAUACAAAGGAUAUGGUGGAGACAAGACACAAGCAUUUGGAUGAUGGUGUUAACAGCAAAAUCUGACAUGCACAGGUCAGGGAACACAGAAACAACUUGUUCUUUUCCUCCUUGUUUAGCCAAAGGGUUUGGAAUUAUCUACAAAUUGAUUCGGGAAGUAGCAAUGAUAUUGCAGCUACUGCCUUAUAUGCCAAAAGAGAGUUUGGCAAACCUUUGUUCUCAGAGGUUGUGUUUACUUCAUGUUGGCAUUUUUGGCUUGCCAGAAAUGCUAAAGUCUUCAGGAACAUUAUACCCAGAUUUGCUAUUUGGAAAACAUGCUUUGUAACACAUAUUUCCCUCUUGGCUUAUAUAAUAAAACCCAGGUUUAAUGAGGACCUUGUAAGGUGGGUUUCAUUCUUGCCCCCCCCCCUUGAAUCCCUUCUUUUCUUUCCUUCCCCCAAGGGAUAGAUAGAUUAGACUUUUUUCUCUUUGGCUUACCAUGGCAACCUUGUACAUAUUUAUGUUCCUUGUUCUUUUGGCAAUAUAAUUUUGAAGGCUAUGAGGGGGAGGUUCUCCCUA